GGUCGGUUGGCCGAGUGGCUAGGCAGAGGUCUGCAAAACCUCCUAUCCCGAAAGCUUUCGGGAUUCGAAUCCGCUACCGACCG
This 83-nucleotide transfer RNA is filed under the name Saprospirales bacterium. RNAcentral's name for it is "tRNA-Cys". It matches the Rfam family "tRNA". From Rfam's summary of the family: Transfer RNA (tRNA) molecules are approximately 80 nucleotides in length. Their secondary structure includes four short double-helical elements and three loops (D, anti-codon, and T loops). The record is from RNAcentral. Lineage: Bacteria; Pseudomonadati; Bacteroidota; Saprospiria; Saprospirales.